CCUACGGGUGGCAGCAGUAGGGAAUUUUCGUCAAUGGGGGAAACCCUGAACGAGCAAUGCCGCGUGAGUGAAGAAGGCCUUCGGGUCGUAAAGCUCUGUUGUAAGAGAAAAACGGUAAUGAUAGGAAAUGAUCAUUAAGUGAUGGUAUCUUACGAGGAAGCCACGGCUAACUACGUGCCAGCAGCCGCGGUAAUACGUAGGUGGCAAGCGUUAUCCGGAAUGAUUGGGCGUAAAGGGUGCGCAGGCGGAACCAUAAGUCUGAAGUAAAAGCCAUCGGCUCAACCGAUGUAAGCUUUGGAAACUGUGGAUCUAGAGUGCAGGAGAGGACAGUGGAAUUCCAGGUGUAGCGGUGAAAUGCGUAGAUAUUAGGAGGAACACCAGUGGCGAAGGCGGUCUGCUGGACAGCAACUGACGCUGAGGCGCGAAAGCGUGGGGAGCAAACAGGAUUAGAUACCCGAGUAGUC
RNAcentral lists this ribosomal RNA (464 nucleotides) under uncultured bacterium. Its description in RNAcentral is "partial 16S ribosomal RNA". It matches the Rfam family "Bacterial small subunit ribosomal RNA", at positions 338 to 795 of the family's 1533-position model. The record is from RNAcentral.